This is a long non-coding RNA of Passer domesticus (house sparrow), 1625 nucleotides long. RefSeq lists it as uncharacterized. The record is from RefSeq and is a predicted model, not a curated record. NCBI's taxonomy places the organism in Eukaryota, Metazoa, Chordata, Aves, Passeriformes, Passeridae. The transcript is spliced from 2 exons.
GGACCGUGAAGGGUCGUGAGGGAGCCUGAGGGGCUGUGACUGACCAUGAGGGGUCGUGAGGGGCAUUGAGGGACCGUGAGGGACCCUGAGGGGCAGAACGCCGCAGGCAGACAGUCCCAGGAAGGGGGAAAGGCCCCGGGGCCGAGGCGUCCCCAGCUGGAGCCGCAGAGCUCAGGGACAGCGCAGGUUCUUGAGCUGCUGCCCCUCAGAGCUCGGGUGCUGUGGCAGCGCUGGAGACACGGCUGAGGAGCGGCCUCAAAAGGGGUCCCAAGAGCCAUGGAGAGAGACUUUGGACAAGGGCCUGAAGUGACAGGACACGGGGUGUCCAGCAGUGCCCCCAGUGACACACAGGGCCCUGGUUCAGGUUUCCAGACAGUGGCACCGGGUCAGGCGGGGGUGACCUGCUCUGGGAAUGCACCUGACUCCUGUGACAACACCACCACCCACAUACCAGAAGAAUGAGGCAGUGGCUGAAAACAUCCCCAAAGUGCCUAGGAGCAGGUUUGCACAGAUCACAGAUUUAUUUCGCAACAAAAAGUUUGAACUCGGGUUUGAUCUCACCAAAGGAGCCUCUGUGAACUUAUCGGGUGUCAAUUCCCCUGUCUCAGCUCUGAAUAUUCAUUUCAGAGAAGUCAAAUGAGGAAAGAGGUGGGGAAAGUACACCCAGGAGGAAACUGCUGCAUUAAUCCUGACCAUCAUCCAGCAGCUUCCCCAGGAAAAACUGCAGGGUUGGGUUAAUUUAUUAAGAGUAAAAAAAAAGCCAAAAGAUGGAGAAGCCCAAGUUUACAACUGCUUGAGAAAACUUCAGUGAGGCUCACGUUUCUGAGUGCUGCAGAAUUCUAUGGAAACCUAAAUUUUGCUUCUGUGUGGAGCAAAAAUUCACUAUAAAUCCUGGGAAAUUCACUAUAAAUCCUGGGAAAUUCACUAUAAAUCUUUUUUUCUUUUGCAUAUUUCCCUUGCAAGCAGUAACACAGUGAUCUCACCGAGGCGUUACAGUGGCUCUUUGGCAGGCUCAGUGCCAGCUAAUUGGAAACAGGUAAUUACUGUUGUUGCAGAGGUUGUUGGCAGGCAGUUGCCACACGCACUUGUGGCCUCGCAGCCUUUCCUCCCCAUCUGGGGCAGAAUUUCAACAUCACAGCCCAGCUUCGUGGACUGAGGUGACUGCCCACAUCCACAGAAAUAAAUCCUUGCAGGAUGCAGUUUGGACAGGCUGCUGCUUUCAUCUCCUGAGGCAGCGCUGUGUUCCCAGCACGGAUGAAAGGGAAUAUUUUCAGGAAUAAAAUCCCCUGGGAUUUCUGUAACCAUGGUAACACUUAAAGAUGGCAGGCCUGCUUCCAACCUGGCUUUUAUUGUUCCAGCACUAAGGAACUGGGUUCUACAAAUAACCAUCCUGGAAUAAAGAACUGCCCUCUUGCUUUCCCAUCAAAAUAAAAAUUUAAAAAUGUAAUAUAUUGCUACAGUUAAACAUUCAGAUAAAGUGCCAAGAUCAAUUCUGUCAUAAAUCUAACUGGGAUUUAAUGAAUACCAGAUAAAUAUGAAUAUUUUUGUAAUAAUAAAUUCAUAUUUCACUGCUGAAUAAACACCAGAACUUAAGCCUGAAAUAAAAAUUAAAAAAAUAAAAAGCA